RNAcentral lists this ribosomal RNA (253 nucleotides) under uncultured prokaryote. RNAcentral's name for it is "partial 16S ribosomal RNA". It matches the Rfam family "Bacterial small subunit ribosomal RNA", at positions 524 to 776 of the family's 1533-position model. The record is from RNAcentral.
UACGGGGGGUGCAAGCGUUAAUCGGAAUCACUGGGCGUAAAGGGUGCGUAGGCGGUACGUUAGGUCUGUCGUGAAAUCCCCGGGCUCAACCUGGGAAUGGCGGUAGAAACCGGCGCACUAGAGUAUGGGAGAGGGUGGUGGAAUUCCAGGUGUAGCGGUGAAAUGCGUAGAGAUCUGGAGGAACAUCAGUGGCGAAGGCGGCCACCUGGCCCAAUACUGACGCUGAGGCACGAAAGCGUGGGGAGCAAACAGG